RNAcentral lists this ribosomal RNA (354 nucleotides) under uncultured Streptococcus sp. RNAcentral's name for it is "bacterial SSU rRNA". It matches the Rfam family "Bacterial small subunit ribosomal RNA", at positions 1028 to 1382 of the family's 1533-position model. Lineage: Bacteria; Bacillati; Bacillota; Bacilli; Lactobacillales; Streptococcaceae. The record is from RNAcentral.
UCGGUGACAGGUGGUGCAUGGUUGUCGUCAGCUCGUGUCGUGAGAUGUUGGUUAAGUCCCGCAACCGAGCGCGAACCCCUAUUGUUAGUUGCCAUCAUUCAGUUGGGCACUCUAGCGAGACUGCCGGUAAUAAACCGGAGGAAGGUGGGGAUGACGUCAAAUCAUCAUGCCCCUUAUGACCUGGGCUACACACGUGCUACAAUGGUUGGUACAACGAGUUGCGAGUCGGUGACGGCGAGCUAAUCUCUUAAAGCCAAUCUCAGUUCGGAUUGUAGGCUGCAACUCGCCUACAUGAAGUCGGAAUCGCUAGUAAUCGCGGAUCAGCACGCCGCGGUGAAUACGUUCCCGGGCCUU